GCGGCAGGCUUAACACAUGCAAGUCGAGGGGCAGCACGAGGUAGCAAUACUUUGGUGGCGACCGGCGCACGGGUGCGUAACGCGUAUGCAACCUACCUUUAACAGGGGCAUAACACUGAGAAAUUGGUACUAAUUCCCCAUAACAUUCGAGAAGGCAUCUUCUUGGGUUAAAAACUCCGGUGGUUAAAGAUGGGCAUGCGUUGUAUUAGCUAGUUGGUGAGGUAACGGCUCACCAAGGCAACGAUACAUAGGGGGACUGAGAGGUUAACCCCCCACACUGGUACUGAGACACGGACCAAACUCCUACGGGAGGCAGCAGUGAGGAAUAUUGGUCAAUGGACGCAAGUCUGAACCAGCCAUGCCGCGUGCAGGAAGACGGCUCUAUGAGUUGUAAACUGCUUUUGUACUAGGGUAAACGCUUCUACGUGUAGGAGCCUGAAAGUAUAGUACGAAUAAGGAUCGGCUAACUCCGUGCCAGCAGCCGCGGUAAUACGGAGGAUCCAAGCGUUAUCCGGAUUUAUUGGGUUUAAAGGGUGCGUAGGCGGUUUGAUAAGUUAGAGGUGAAAUACCGGGGCUCAACUCCGGAACUGCCUCUAAUACUGUUGAACUAGAGAGUAGUUGCGGUAGGCGGAAUGUAUGGUGUAGCGGUGAAAUGCUUAGAGAUCAUACAGAACACCGAUUGCGAAGGCAGCUUACCAAACUAUAUCUGACGUUGAGGCACGAAAGCGUGGGGAGCAAACAGGAUUAGAUACCCUGGUAGUCCACGCAGUAAACGAUGAUAACUCGUUGUCGGCGAUACACAGUCGGUGACUAAGCGAAAGCGAUAAGUUAUCCACCUGGGGAGUACGUUCGCAAGAAUGAAACUCAAGGAAUUGACGGGGGCCCGCACAAGCGGAGGAACAUGUGGUUUAAUUCGAUGAUACGCGAGGAACCUUACCCGGGCUUGAAAGUUAGUGACGAUUCUGGAAACAGGAUUUCCCUUCGGGGCACGAAACU
RNAcentral lists this ribosomal RNA (996 nucleotides) under uncultured bacterium. RNAcentral's name for it is "bacterial SSU rRNA". It matches the Rfam family "Bacterial small subunit ribosomal RNA", at positions 39 to 1035 of the family's 1533-position model. The record is from RNAcentral.